Molecule: small RNA, 1272 nt
Filed under: Pan troglodytes (chimpanzee)
Lineage: Eukaryota; Metazoa; Chordata; Mammalia; Primates; Hominidae
Description: retained intron
Source: RNAcentral
AGCUGUUGAAGACAGAGCUGGGGUCCUUCUUCACGGAGUACCUGCAGAACCAGCUGCUGACAAAAGGCAUGGUGAUCCUUCGGGACAAGAUUCGCUUCUACGAGGAGCUGCAGAGAGACAAGGCGGCGGCGGCUGCUGUGCUGGGUGCAGUGAGGAAGAGGCCCUCGGUGGUGCCCAUGGCUGGCCAGGAUCCUGCGCUGAGCACGAGUCACCCGUUCUACGACGUGGCCAGACAUGGCAUUCUGCAGGUGGCAGGGGACGACCGCUUUGGAAGACGUGUUGUCACGUUCAGCUGCUGCCGGAUGCCGCCCUCCCACGAGCUGGACCACCAGCGGCUGCUGGAGUAUUUGAAGUACACACUGGACCAGUACGUUGAGAACGAUUAUACCAUCGUCUAUUUCCACUACGGGCUGAACAGCCGGAACAAGCCUUCCCUGGGCUGGCUCCAGAGCGCAUACAAGGAGUUCGAUAGGAAAGACGGGGAUCUCACUAUGUGGCCCAGGCUGGUCUCAAACUCCAGGCUCAAGCGAUCCUCCCACCUCAGCCUCCCAAAGUACUGGGAUUACAGGCAUAAGCCACCAUGCCAAGCCAACACUCUUGUUCUUAAAGGGCCAGACAGUCAGCAUUUUAGCUUUGCAGGCCUGUUGCUCUAUUGCAACAACUCUGCCGGACCGUGUUCCAGUAAAACAUUAUGGACGCUGAAAUGUGAAUUUCAUGUCAUUUUCACGUGUCAUGAAAUAUUCUUCUGUUUUUUUUUUUUUCAACCACUUAAAAACAUAAAGCCAUUUUUAGCUUGCAGGCUAUACCAAAGCAGGAAGCAGGCUAGGUUCGUCCUGCCUGCCCAUUCUCCCACCCCUGGUCCAGUGAAUUACUGGCAAAGAAACAACUGCAUGACCGUUUCUUCACUAAAGCCUCUUCUUGCUUGCACAGCCCUUUACAGUCUGCAAGGGGCAUUCUGAUGCCUCUUGUUGGUGAGAUGGGCAGCCUCAUUUUACAGAUGAGGACAUAGGCCCCAGAGAGCAAGUGACUUACCCGUGGUCACUCAGCUUGUGUGUGGUAGGGCAGGAUCCCACCCCAGGCCCCCGCCUCCCUCUCCCACCCAACGCUACUCACCACUCGGCCAUGGCCUGGAGCCGGCAGACUUUUCCUGAGGGACGUCCGGCCUAAUAAUCAACUUUGCAAUAUAUCUGGCUCGUAGACUGCGGCGAUGGGCGUUGAUGUGGAUAUCCUAGAUUCCUCUGGGUUUUCCUUCUUCAAAGUCCUUUCAAACCU